CACCACUUUCGCCGCCUUUACUCUUUGAGCAAAUUCACAAGCCUCCUCGACGAACAGUUCUUUCUUUCUUGCUAACAACGUUUUCAAUCAAAAGAAACAAAAUUUCAAUCCCACUGUGGGUUCUACCCCUUUGCAGUUCUAUCAUCCCAAAUCCAAGCAGAAGUCCUAGUACAAUCUAUAUUUUGUCUUUUCCUUAAUUCUUCCGGUCACAAAAUCUCAGAUUAAAGCUCUCGAACCUUAACCCCAUUUGUUUCUGUGGUGUCCUUGGCUAUUGUUUCGACAGAUGGGCCCAGAAGCUGCAAGAACAGCACGAGAAUCUCUUGACCUAGUAUUCCACAUGUCAAACAUUCUUGAAACUGGGCUGGAUCGUCAUACACUUUCGAUUCUCAUUGCCCUUUGUGAAAUGGGUCUCAACCCUGAGGCACUAGCUGCUGUUGUUAAGGAGCUCCGCUGGGAAACCAUUCCCAAUCUUUCAUCGUCUGCUUCUUCUUUGUCUGCAACACCACCGGCUCCUUCCAUUCCUUAGGUGGAGCUAGGAGCAGGUGCAGCUUGCUUGAACUGAUUGAGCUCAUGUACCACACGAUGAUGAAGAUGUGGUGGUUAAAGAUCAAGUGAUAUUUUCUUCUAGUCACCUUUAUACAGAUGCAUCUUUAGAUCAUUUUUAGGUGAUCCAGGGUGUCUGCAGCUCAUCAUUUUUGCCCAAGAUUCAAACAAUAUGUAAUGCAUGUGUCUAAUUUGUGGCAUAAUUAGGGGGACAUGGGAUAGUGUAACUUAUUGGUAUGAUAUAUUGAAGAACCUUAUGUGGCGUGAUGGUUGCUUAAAAUAGUUAGUAUGAAUCUAAGUUGUUUUUAAGGAAGUUAUUGCUGCUUGUAAAAUUGAGUAUUUCUGCCUUUGAAAAAAUUUGCUUACAUUUGGAGCAAAGUUCCUAAGUUAUGUAGCAUAACAUUAUGUGUUGUAUACAAUGCAUAAUAUAUGAUAAUACUAGCUUCCUUUGAUUUAGGGAAAGUACUUGAUCUUGUGAAUAGAUUGAUUUGUCAAUGCGUCCUUGAGAUUAGACAAGGAAGAAUUGUUUGUUCAUUUGAGAGCAAUUCACUAGUUGUAGUUUCUGACCUCUCAUAUAAUUCUAUGCUCAGACAUUGCUUCUUUGUUGGUAGGAUCCCUUGUUUAUGACCUGACAUUUCCUUGUGAAAUUAUAAUUAUUUUUUGGUCAUGUGUAUUUGAUCUUAGUGAGUCUCAUAACUGAUAUCUGAUUAUAUAUACUUUACUGUUUUUUCUGUUUUUCUGUAAACUUCCGAGCUUAUACAUCCUAAUGUGAGACAACCAUCUGAUUGAGCAUGCACCAGUACUAUACUGAGAAGUGUUUGCGCCUAGAAUUUGACUCUAUUCAACUCAACCAGAGGCCUGCUCCCGUUAUUUAUGAAAAACGAGAGAAAGAAAUGAGACAUGGAUGGGAGCUUUUUGGGAUUCCAGGUUUUUAUGGGUACUGGGAGACAAAAGGCUUGACUCCUCCAGGAUGGGACGCUUUACAAAUUUCUUCAUUUUACCAAACCAGUAAUUCAUAUUCAUUUUACAAGUUUGUGCAGCUUUGGACGCUUGAGAAAUGUGACAAAGGUUAUUUCACUCAUGAAAAUUGUUUCAUUACAAAUUUAGCUUUUUUGUUAAAAUUUAAUUGUGUUUUUAUUUGAUAUUAAGACAUCACUGUGGCUUAAAUCUUUUUGUUAGUAAACUUUCUCUCAAGUAUCACGGUCCUAAUGACAUAACCAAUGUAAAUAUCGUAUGGCAAUAAAGAUUUGAAGGACAUUAGUGACCAAAGCUUCACAAUUCUUUUAGUUCCCAGUAAUUGAAGUGAAUUUCAAUAGAGGACGUUUCAAUUUAUUUAUUGUUUUGGGGGUCAAACUUUAUCAUUGUAUAUUAACACUUAAUAAUCAAGAGAUUAAUUACAAAAGAGAAGCAGCCGCCCUUGCAUCUUCCUAUGCAGAAUGUUUCAGCAAUGGGAAAAUCAUCUUCCCACUUUACAUCAGUAACUAAACCAUCGAUCACUUCAGGCUAACAAAUUUUUAUACCCACCACAGCCCAAAAAAAAAAAAAAAGGAAAAGAGCUAAUAAUCGACCUGUGUAGUGUGUAUCCUCUAUAGAAUUCCUAUAGGAAACUAAACUGAUAUGAAGAAGGGAUGGUUUUACACAUCAUCACCCAUGAAGGUUUAUCAACUGAUCUACGUAGCAAGGUCUAGAAAUGAUCUUUAAUAUUUUAGCAGAAAUUUUCUUGCACUAGCUAGAUCUGGCUUUUAUUUUCUGAUUUUAUUGUUGGCCAGUGUAAGAGAAGCUUAUACAAUGCAGAGGACCAACAAAGAGAUGGGAGAAGAGGAAAUUUGAUAGAGCAUUUAACUGAGUAAAAUUGGUAAAAUUUUAUUACUUUCGCCUGAAGUUUAUUGAUAGAUGCUUAUUACCAAAAAAAAA
Coffea arabica (coffee) is the source of this 2457-nucleotide non-coding RNA. Lineage: Eukaryota; Viridiplantae; Streptophyta; Magnoliopsida; Gentianales; Rubiaceae. The record is from RefSeq and is a predicted model, not a curated record.